This 498-nucleotide ribosomal RNA is filed under the name uncultured bacterium. RNAcentral's name for it is "partial 16S ribosomal RNA". It matches the Rfam family "Bacterial small subunit ribosomal RNA", at positions 30 to 523 of the family's 1533-position model. The record is from RNAcentral.
AUUGAACGCUGGCGGCAUGCCUUACACAUGCAAGUCGAACGGUAACAGGUCUUCGGAUGCUGACGAGUGGCGAACGGGUGAGUAAUACAUCGGAACGUGCCUAGGAGUGGGGGAUAACUACUCGAAAGAGUGGCUAAUACCGCAUGAGAUCUACGGAUGAAAGCAGGGGAUCGCAAGACCUUGUGCUACUAGAGCGGCCGAUGGCGGAUUAGGUAGUUGGUGGGAUAAAAGCUUACCAAGCCGACGAUCUGUAGCUGGUCUGAGAGGACGAUCAGCCACACUGGGACUGAGAAACGGCCCAGACGCCUACGGGAGGCAGCAGUGGGGAAUUUUGGACAAUGGGCGCAAGCCUGAUCCAGCAAUGCCGCGUGCAGGAUGAAGGCCUUCGGGUUGUAAACUGCUUUUGUACGGAACGAAAAGCCCCGGGUUAAUACCCUGGGGUCAUGACGGUACCGUAAGAAUAAGCACCGGCUAACUACGUGCCAGCCGCCGCCGUAA